AGCUCCACUCGAUUUGCUGCUGCUGCUCAAGGCUCACUGCAGAACCAUGCUUGCUCUCACGGCCUUCGUUUCGCCCACGGGGCUUUUAAAGGCCUUAAACAGGAUUUAGAUCGAAGAAACAUUUCUAUUAGAACUCCAGAACCUCCCCAAGCCAUUAGAUCCCAACUGCGACCCAUGUUGACCGUUCGAUCGUGCAACACAUGAGUCCCCGGUCCACCAAAAUGCCGUGAGCCAUGAGAAAUAGACAAGAAACCGCCUAGCGAUCCAUGUGGAAACACCC
This 280-nucleotide long non-coding RNA is filed under the name Elaeis guineensis (African oil palm). RNAcentral describes it as "long non-coding RNA (EGUI_LNC023446)". The record is from RNAcentral. Lineage: Eukaryota; Viridiplantae; Streptophyta; Magnoliopsida; Arecales; Arecaceae.